GACGAACGCUGGCGGCGUGCUUAACACAUGCAAGUCGAACGGAAAGGCCCUGCUUUUGUGGGGUGCUCGAGUGGCGAACGGGUGAGUAACACGUGAGUAACCUGCCCUUGACUUUGGGAUAACUUCAGGAAACUGGGGCUCAUACCGGAUAGGAGCUCCUGCUGCAUGGUGGGGGUUGGAAAGUUUCGGCGGUUGGGGAUGGACUCGCGGCUUAUCAGCUUUUUGGUGGGGUAGUGGCUUACCAAGGCUUUGGCGGGUAGCCGGCCUGAGAGGGUGACCGGGCACAGUGGGACUAAGAUACGGCGCAGACGCGUACGGGAGGCAGCAGUGGGGAAUAUUGCACAAUGGGCGGAAGCAUGAUGCAGCAACGCCGCGUGCGGGAUGACGGCCUGCGGGUUGUAAACCGCUUUGGCCUGUGACGAAGAGUGAUUGACGGUAAUGGAUAAAGAAGCACCGGCUAACUACGUG
This 468-nucleotide ribosomal RNA is filed under the name uncultured bacterium. Its description in RNAcentral is "partial 16S ribosomal RNA". It matches the Rfam family "Bacterial small subunit ribosomal RNA", at positions 28 to 507 of the family's 1533-position model. The record is from RNAcentral.